UACGAAGGGGGGCUAGCGUUGUUCGGAAUCACUGGGCGUAAAGCGCACGUAGGCGGAUCUUUAAGUCAGGGGUGAAAUCCCGAGGCUCAACCUCGGAACUGCCUUUGAUACUGGGGAUCUCGAGUCCGGGAGAGGUGAGUGGAACUGCGAGUGUAGAGGUGAAAUUCGUAGAUAUUCGCAAGAACACCAGUGGCGAAGGCGGCUCACUGGCCCGAUACUGACGCUGAGGCACGAAAGCGUGGGGAGCAAAGCAGG
RNAcentral lists this ribosomal RNA (255 nucleotides) under uncultured bacterium. Its description in RNAcentral is "partial 16S ribosomal RNA". It matches the Rfam family "Bacterial small subunit ribosomal RNA", at positions 524 to 777 of the family's 1533-position model. The record is from RNAcentral.